This 386-nucleotide ribosomal RNA is filed under the name uncultured soil bacterium. Its description in RNAcentral is "bacterial SSU rRNA". It matches the Rfam family "Bacterial small subunit ribosomal RNA", at positions 975 to 1374 of the family's 1533-position model. The record is from RNAcentral.
CUGGGCUUGACAUGGCGGUGGUACUGAGGCGAAAGCCGAGGGACCCUUCGGGGAGCCGUCACAGGUGCUGCAUGGCUGUCGUCAGCUCGUGCCGUGAGGUGUUCGGUUAAGUCCGCGAACGAGCGCAACCCUUGCCGCCAGUUACAAGUGUCUGGCGGGACUGCCGGUGACAAACCGGAGGAAGGUGGGGAUGACGUCAAGUCAGCAUGGCCUUUAUGUCCAGGGCGACACACACGCUACAAUGGCCGGUACAAUGAGCAGCCAAGCCGCGAGGUGGAGCGAAUCUCCAAAGCCGGUCGUAGUUCGGAUUGCAGGCUGCAACUCGCCUGCAUGAGGUCGGAGUUGCUAGUAACCGUGGGUCAGCCACACUACGGUGAAUACGUUCC